UGUACAGGAAGACAGACAGGAAGGAUGCACGCUUUGUACGACACCGCGGGCACGUUUCUGGCGGCGCUGACAAGGCACACAGAGGUACCUGAAGUCCAAGAGCCGCAGUCCUCGCUGGUAGCCGACCUGGUUUUUCUCGAAUCGGCGCCCGUGAACGUGCUGCUUGUGGCCGGUGUCACUUGCGUGGUGUGGCGUUUCUGCGCGCGGAAGAAGGCGGCCGCCCGUCAAGCACGUUUUACCGGCGACAUCUGUGAGUUGGCUUACCGGCGGCUGUGGCUUAAACAGGGCGAGGCGACGGAGGCGCUGGGCAUUGGGGACGAGCGCUGCGCUAAAACGAUGUCGCUAAAGAGGCGAAUGCUGAAGGAGGAGGAGGAGGAGGUCGACGUGCGAGGGGCUGCGGCGGAAAACGCAGAGUCUAAAGGGGAGACCCGAGGCCCGCCGUCGCCACAGCUCGUUCAAUGCCAUCGUUGCAAAAAGCUGAAGCGAGCGAGAAGCGGCAAGCAGGGAAUCGACGAAGAAGGAGACGGCCAUCCGGCAGCAGAGGGCGCCAAACACAAGGUCAAUGAAGAAGAAGAUGAUAAGGUGAACUUACCAAAGCAGCUACAGAAGACCAUCCAAGACGUGGCCGUCAUAGACAGCGUAAGUCACCUGAGAGCUGACAACGAGUACAAGCUGGUAUUCGAAGAGUACAGCGUGGGCCCCUUGCUCGGGAAAGGCGGAUUCGGUAUGGUCCGAGCGGGAACGUCAAAGGAAAGCAGCAAACCUGUGGCCAUCAAAUUUGUACAACUGCCCACCAAAAACGAGUGGAUUCAUUUGAGUGUCAGGACCUGAUCCAGCACUGCCUUCACGUGCAGCCCACCGAGCGCAUCAUGCUGGACUAUCUGGAGUUUCACCGCUGGAUGACCUGACGGCGCCCCCCGGAGGUCCAACCACCUCGGCAGCUACUUCUCAAAUGAACAUCGACUUCCGGUCAACGCCCGCUUUAAACUGAGCAGGAGGCGGAGCUUCAGAUGGUCCUCUGGAAGUCAGGUCGGCUUUUUUAUCCUGCAGCAGUUCCUCCGCUCUAAGGCAGGGGACAUAACAAGAGAUUUUAUUCUACUGAAUGCUGAACGGGGAGGGCAGCUGCCUCAGUGUCAGACCCCCUAGUGUGGUCGCUUAAAUGACCCGAAAACGAGGAAGGAAAAUCAAAAUGAUCAUACGGAAGUCCUGACUUGAACCCAAGAGAGAGAGAGAGUGGCAGAUCCUGACAUGACUGGCUGCUAAUGUGUCAAAAUUACAGCAGUUCUGCAAAGAAAGACUAAAUGCAGGAAAUUCCGCCUGGCUCCCGUGAUGUCA
Molecule: RNA transcript, 1335 nt
Organism: Polypterus senegalus (gray bichir)
Lineage: Eukaryota; Metazoa; Chordata; Cladistia; Polypteriformes; Polypteridae
Exons: 8
Source: RefSeq, a predicted model, not a curated record